This 818-nucleotide unclassified non-coding RNA is filed under the name Hevea brasiliensis (rubber tree). The record is from RNAcentral. Lineage: Eukaryota; Viridiplantae; Streptophyta; Magnoliopsida; Malpighiales; Euphorbiaceae.
GUUCAAAGAGAGGUCAAGGCUUUACUGCAGUCUGCACUUGAUAUUGCACUCUGUGUUGUACGUGCUAAUCCCAAAGUUCUUGAGGGGUUGGGAGCUCAAUUGGAAGAGAAUGAGAAAGUAGAAGGUGAGCAACUACAAGAAUGGUUGAGCAUGGUCGUUGCACCAGCAGAACUUAAUUUUUUCAUAAAGGGCAAAGAAGGAUCUUUACUUCCACUGCAAGCAGGCUCUGGAUGACAGAAAGUGCAAGCUUAACCCAGUCAACAGAGUACAAAAACGAAUUUCGAAUAAGGAUUUCCACGCCUUCAUCUGUGCUCUCUAGGGAAACAAAGCUAUAUUCCUGAACCAGAUGGGCAUCACUUGCUGGCAUCCAGACAGCGUGAUUUUGCAUGUGUUAGUAAGGUAAAUUGACAGCUACUUAACUCCUACAAACACCAUUGUUAUAUACCACGAUCACAGAUUGUUAACUCGAAGAGAAGGCAUGCGCAAAAGAUCUAGCCAAGAGUUUCUUGGUUCUCUAGAGGUGAAAUGAAAAUAGGCUCGUGAUCAGAGUGAUGUCUGUUGGUAUUUUCUUCUACAUCACUUGUACAUGUGCCCAAUUAUUCUUAGUAAUUACACAAGAAUCAAUACCUUAAUAUUGUAAUAUACAUCUGUACUGCAGCUUACAAAGAACUAAUCCAUGUCUAAUGUUGUGGGAGAAGGUGUGAAACUGUGUAUACAAUGUAAUCUUUCUGAUUAUGAGACAAAGUUUCAGUAGGUUGCCAUAAUCUUUGACUUGUGUAAAAUUACAAGUAUUGGAUGAGGUAAUAGUGACAAUUCCU